AAAUAGUAAGGCAACUUUUUUGAGAACCAGCUUUAAUAAAAUGCAGAAAAGGCAACAUCUUCCAUCUCAGUGGCAUUCAUGCACCAUCAGAAAACCUAUAACCAAACAAAAACUUAUUUAUCAAGUUAGCUUUGUUCUGUCUUACACCUGCUUUCUAAAUAACAAAAACAUCCAAGGCAGUACAUAAAUCUAUGACAGUGAUGGUAUCUUGUAAGAAAGGCUAAGGGAAAGCCAUUUCACCAGCACAUCUGUGUUAAAUUCUACACACUGAAGCUGGAAAAAAAACCCUAUUUUAACAGUAUUUAGUUCAGCACAAGAUAUUUAUAAUGUCAUCAGUGCUAGGAUUCAGAUUUCAGAUAUUUUUCUUUAAAUCUCAACUGAGGAUUCUUGUUCAAGAACUUUUAACUUCUGUCUCCAUGUCUUUGGCACCCAAAUGACCUGAUUUUUGUGUAAUUCUGAAAAAUCAGGACACUUAUUUGCAUUUAUGUGUAACAAUGAAGAUAUUUCCUCACUUUCUUACAGCUUACAUUACAUUUCCUUACUUUCUUACAGAGGCUCCCAUCUGUAGCAGACAGCAAACAGUGGGGACUGACAUUGCAAGACAUCUGGUAAACCUGCUUAAUUUUAGACAAGCCAUUUCUCCCCAUGGAAGCAUUAUUACUAUAGCAAUAAAUGGCUUGCAAAAGCGGAUUCAUCAUCAGAUCCUGAUUACUCUGCAGAUGUUCUAAAUGUAUUGCUACCUAGCUUAGUGUUUCCCAAAUUAACGGUUUUCAAAGUCUUUACAAACAGUUUAGCAAUCAGAAGACAGCGCAUAAUUACUCUUUUUAAUAAAAAUGUAUAUUAGAAGAGAGAGUGCUUUAUUAAAUAAAAUGUGACUCAAAAGAAAAACACUACUAGUCAAAGGACUGAGGUGUUCAUUAAACUAUUCAAACACUGUAACAGGAGUACAUGUGAGAUCUGCAGCAAAGAGAGUUUUUAAGCCAAUCAAGUAGAUUCCACAAGGCAGCAAGCCACCUUAAGCACUUGAUUAAAACUUACAUACAAAACACAGCACAUGCUUCAGUGCUUGCAGCAAUUUUUAUCACACUACUCUGUAAUUCACAAAAACAAACUCAAAAUACAGUGUUGAUACAACAGUAAUUGACAAUAGCAUGAUACACUUCCUGCACAAAUACAGUGUUUAGUAUCAUCACUUUUUUCACAGAAUCAUAGAACCAAAUGAUGGGUUUGGGUUGGAAGGGACCUCAAAGCCCAGCCAGCCCCAACCUCAUGCCAUGGGCAGGGCUGCCCUCCACCAGCUCAGCUGCUCAGGGCCCCAUCCAACCAGGUCUUGAACACCUCCAGAAAUGGGGCACCACAGCUUCUCUGGGCAGCUGUUUCAGCACCUCACCACUCUUAUGUAGGGUUGUAGAAUAUCCUAAAACCCAUAAGGAACCAUAACCUAUAUUAAAACUGCUAAAAUAACUUCAUUACCAUAUAACAGCUGCAGGACAUAGAAAUAACUGCUUCUCUGAAAAGUGGAGACAGAAGAAAAAGAUGCUCGGGCCAAUAGCCACUGGCAGCCUGAUUUUUUUAAUAAGACUUCCAUCCUUACCUCAACAAACAUCUUCCAUGAGCAUCAAAUCCUUCAUAAAUAGAAAGUGCUGAUGUUUGGCUUUCUGUCAAUACAACACUGUAUAUACAGAACACUGCAGUCUUGAACAUACUAAGCAAUUAGUUAAAACAGGAUUUUCAUAUGCCCACUUUACAGAGAUUUUCUCAAGGCUAAGGAAGCAAAAACAUUCUUCAGUAAUGCUGGCUCUCUACACAGACUGAGCAAGUGGUUUCCAGCUUCUUGACUGUCAUGAUGGAUUGCAUGACUGGAGUGUUGCAAUGGAGGAAUACAGGCCCUUGAGGAAGGAUGAGCCACAAAGAUGAGGUGAGGUAGAAAAGUUGUCAAUUGUGUAAAAGCACAGCUGUAAUGCACGAAGCUCUGCCUUAGGGCGGACAGUGAGCCAACUGAGAGCUUAUGGGCAAAGAUUUAAGAGCAGACAAGUAUGAUGGACAUAACCGUGGGUGUUUGCUAGAGGCUAUUUGACAACAAAGAACAAGAGGAUAAAUCUUUCUACGGGUGCCUAGAAGCAGUUUCACAUUCACAGGCCUUGGUCCUCAAGUGGGACUUCAACCACCCUGAUAUCUGAGGGUCAAACACAGCAGGGCAAGAGCUAAAGAAGAUUCCCGGAGAGUACUAAUAACUUCCUGGCCCAAGUGAUAGAAAAACCAAAGAGAAAUGCUCCACUGAACCAAGGAGGGGCUGAACGUGAAGAUUAAAAGCAGCCUUGGCUGCAUUGUUCAUGUGAUGGCUGAGUUCAGGAUCCUGAGAGCAAGAAGGAAGAUGAAAAGCAAGGUCACAAUGCUGGACUUCAGGAGAGCAGACUCUGGCUUCUUCAAAGACCUGCUUGGAAGAGUUCUGUGGGAUAAGAUCCUGGAAAAAAGACAGGCCCUUGAAAGCAAGUUUGAUAUUUGAGGAUCACUUUCCCACAAACCACAAAAAGUGGUCUAUCCUAACAAGUGGGAAGUCAGGAGAAAUGUCAAGAAGCCUGCAUAGAUGAGCAAUUUGUUUCUUGCAAAACUCAAACACAAAAAGGAUACAUACAAACAGUGGAAACAGGAACAGGUAACCAACAGAAAUACAGAUGCUGUUCUUGCUGAGGGUUCAACCCUCUUGCUGAGGGUUGAUCCGAAAGUUGUUGUGCUCGUUCCCCUUAACAAUCCUGUACCACACUCUCCCAUUCACCCCCUCGUCUGCAUCCGUGGCUUUCACCUGCACGAUGCUGCUGGCGGCUGGGAUGUCCUCAGGAACACUGGCUUCAUAGCUGCUCUGAAGGAAGAUGGGCCGGUUAUCAUUGACAUCCAGGACAGUGACAUAGACAGUGGCAGUUCCAGUGCGGCGGUUCUGGAGGAGAUGCAUUUAGAAUGGCCAAAAUUCCAACUUGAAUUGAAUCUGGCCAAGGUCAUCAGACACUGAGAAGAGUUUCUGUAGGUACCUAAGUCACAAAAGCAAGAGUAGGGAAAACAUGGAUGCACUGUUGAAUGGUAUGAGGGACACAGUGACAGAAGACAGGAAAAAUGCUGAGAAAUUGAAUGCCACUUUUGCCUCACUGUUUAUGAGUAAGAUUGUCUUUCACAAACCUUAGGUCCCAAAGAACAGGAGUAAAACUGGAACAAGAAAGAAACAUGUAACCUGAUAGAAAAGGAUCCGCUCAGGGAAUAUGUAAACAAAUAAGACUAAUGAAGUCUAUACAUCCUGAUGAGAUGCACCUGUGAGUGCUGAGGGAGCUGUCCCGUGUCACUGCUAGGCCACUCUUGAUAAUCCUUUAAUGAUCAUUUUAACUAGGAGAGGCGCCCACAGACUAGUAAAAUCCAGUGUCAUUCCCAUCAAGGCCAGCCAGCUCUACCUCAAUCACUGGAAAGGUAAUGGAGCACCUAAUCCUGGAAAACAAUUCCAGCACACAAAGGAUAAGAAAAUGGUCAGUAGAGAUUUACCAAAAGGAAGUUAAGCUUGACAAAUUUGAUUAACCAUGAAAUGACUGGCCUGGUGGAUGAGGGGAGCAUAGUGGAUAUUGCCUACCUAGAGUUCAGGAAGACCUUUGACACUGUCUCUCCUAAGAUCCUCGUAGAAAAGGCUGGCAAAGUACAGUCAGGUCAUGAAGAUAAGGAGGUGGACAAAAAACUAGUGGUGCAAAGCCUAGUUGGGAGCCAGUAACUAGUAGUCUACUGAAAUGGUGAAUACUGGGACCAAUCCUGUUCAACAUCUUCAUUAGUGAUCUACAUGGGGUACAGUACAACCUCAGCAAGUUUGCUAAUAACACAGAACUGAGAGGAGGAAGCUCAACAAGCUGGAGAAAUGGGCUAAUAGGGACCUCAUAUAAUAAAGUUCUUCUACUGGGCAAAGAACAACGACAGGAACAGUACAUGCUGUGGGCCACCCAGCUGGAAGGCAGACUUGCAGAAAAAGAACUAGGGGUUCUGGUGGACUCCAAAUGAACACAAGUCAAGGGGGAAGCAUGCCCUUGUGGCAUGUGUGGCUAAUGCGGAAGGUGUGACUGGUGGCAUAUGGCACAAACUGAAACACAGGAGGUGCCAUCUAAACAAACACACCUUUACUAUGGGAGUGACCAUGCAAUGGCACAGGUUUCCUGCUUGGAGGGGAGAAAGGUUAGUAGAGACUUCCAGAGGUGCUCCUCCAUAUCUCAACCAUUCCAUAAUUUUCCUUUCCAGUAUGAUGAAAUUAGCUUAAAAGGAGGAAAACACUCCACUGUAUUUCUCCCCUUUUUAUUAUUCUAAUUUCUUCCAAAAAAUAGCAUAACUAUGUACUUUCAAAUGAAACUCAAUAUAAGAAAUCUAACAAAAGAGCUUUGAUGCACAAGAAAUUCAGUGAAACAUUUCAGCACUUCUUAAGUGUUGGCACAUUUCAGGUAGUUUCUUAAGUACUAUUUCUAGUAAAAAAACUAAAAAAAACUUUAAAAAUUGACUAGAACUCAUGACUGUGAUAGUACUGAUUUGGUGAAGGUUAUAUAUAAUUGUCUAGAGAAUUAAAAAAUAAAUAAAAAUUAAGAGUCAGAAGAGGGUGUAUGACUUAACUACAGAGAAAAGGCUCUACGACUAUAAACGCAAAUAAUCUGAAAGUUUGAUAGCAUUGUUCUUUCUUAGGUUUAUUACAGGUUUGCAAAAAUACUUGUGCACCAUCAACACUAUCAUUUAAUCUGUAUGUAAACUAGAAUAGUCAACAGCAUCAAAAAGCAUCUCUUAGCUCAAGAAAGGAGAGAAAAAUACUGAAGUACUAACCCUCAUCUUCUCACUAGUGGGUAGCUACUGGCAUGAUGAAGGAGGAGUAAACACCAUGCCAGAAAACCCCAACCCAGCUCCAAGAGAGUGGAAGACAGCAGGACAGAAGUUAGGUAUCAUUCUGCCUAUCAACAGCAUCAGUUUAUAUUCCAAAACAAAAUAUUUGGCUCCCAUUUUGGAAUUAUUUCCUACAUCUAAUGGUGUGUGUGCACAUACGAAACCAUCCCUACCAGAGUGAACUUCCAGUACCCUCAACUGUUAUACAGGUUCCCUUUUUCGUUCAUGAUCACGUUCUUAAUGCUUUAAGGACUGUAGUGAAAUCCCCAUCACCACUAAGAGCUAAUUCUUCUGCCAAACCUAUUUGGAAUUGUAUGAAACAAGCAAGACACAUCCUAAGAUCUGUCUAGUAAGUUUCAAAGAGACAUUAAAGCUACAAAAAAGUCAGGACAGGCUUUAAUAUAAUAGAAAAUGUUCAGUAAUUUAAGCUCAGCAGCUGUUAUUGAUUAUUGUAUAGUCAUACUUGGAAAAAUGAUGGAAAGAUUUUUAAAAGUUCAGAAAAUCAGUUCUUCUAGAGCAGCUUUGUACAGAACAAACUUGUUUAAUCUUGGAAGCACCAUGAAGUGACACUACAUAUCAGCAAGCAAAAAAAAAAAAAA
Molecule: non-coding RNA, 5483 nt
Organism: Coturnix japonica (Japanese quail)
Lineage: Eukaryota; Metazoa; Chordata; Aves; Galliformes; Phasianidae
Source: RefSeq, a predicted model, not a curated record